CAGGAUGGCAAGUCUUGCUGACAUGAGUCCCAGCCCUAAGUAGCUGUUUGGAAUAGAGGAAGAGGCACCACUGUGACACCACUUGCUUUGCAGGGCAGAGCCAGGUGAGAAGGUGAGCUCAUCAAACAGUUCGCGCCAUACCUUCAUCAGUGCCAUCCAUUAUGGAGACACCGUCUGGUCUGGACAGAAAUGGAGACUCUUCAAAGACAUUCCUCACCUUGGCAAUCAGAAAUAUUCAGAGAAGCUGGAGCACGCUGCUUCCCGACGCCAGCCACAGACAGCACCUGAUGCAUGUUGUGGACGUGUGUCCCUCUCAUCCCGCUCAUUGGUCUUACCUUGGCCAAUAGCCAGCUUAUCAUCAAAAUUCAUGACAGAUUCAUCACUGUCUUUCAUUCUUUUGAAUUGGAAUCUUAAUUCAGCAGAAGUAGCUAGACAAUAACAAGGGUUUUCUUUUGGGUGGCUGUGUUUCUCUUUUCACAUGGUGAAAGACAAAAUGCCAGAAAUCCAAAAUAAACAUAAUGCCAAGAAUCCUGA
This is a long non-coding RNA of Paramormyrops kingsleyae, 534 nucleotides long. RefSeq lists it as uncharacterized. NCBI's taxonomy places the organism in Eukaryota, Metazoa, Chordata, Actinopteri, Osteoglossiformes, Mormyridae. The record is from RefSeq and is a predicted model, not a curated record.